This 74-nucleotide transfer RNA is filed under the name Bacteroidota bacterium. RNAcentral's name for it is "tRNA-Met". It matches the Rfam family "tRNA". Rfam says of the family: Transfer RNA (tRNA) molecules are approximately 80 nucleotides in length. RNAcentral also lists the same sequence under 1 other name. Lineage: Bacteria; Pseudomonadati; Bacteroidota. The record is from RNAcentral.
GGCGGAGUAGCUCAGACGGUUAGAGCAGCGGAAUCAUAAUCCGCGUGUCGGGGGUUCGAAUCCCUCCUCCGCUA